Molecule: unclassified non-coding RNA, 168 nt
Filed under: soil metagenome
Description: partial internal transcribed spacer 1
Source: RNAcentral
CGAAAGCGUUUUUAACAGCGCAAAACCCACUGUGAACAUACCUGUUUGUUGCUUCGGCAGGCGGCCCCAGGGCGGGGCCAGCAGCCUGUAUUUUUUUCAGGCGCCUGCCGGAGGCCACUUCAAACUCUUUUGUAUACGUACUGUCUGAGCCUAAAACAAAAUACGUUA